RNAcentral lists this transfer RNA (85 nucleotides) under Acidobacteria bacterium ADurb.Bin051. RNAcentral's name for it is "tRNA-Leu". It matches the Rfam family "tRNA". From Rfam's summary of the family: Transfer RNA (tRNA) molecules are approximately 80 nucleotides in length. Their secondary structure includes four short double-helical elements and three loops (D, anti-codon, and T loops). Further hydrogen bonds mediate the characteristic L-shaped molecular structure. tRNAs have two regions of fundamental functional importance: the anti-codon, which is responsible for specific mRNA codon recognition, and the 3' end, to which the tRNAs corresponding amino acid is attached (by aminoacyl-tRNA synthetases). tRNAs cope with the degeneracy of the genetic code in two manners: having more than one tRNA (with a specific anti-codon) for a particular amino acid; and 'wobble' base-pairing, i.e. permitting non-standard base-pairing at the 3rd anti-codon position. The record is from RNAcentral. RNAcentral also lists the same sequence under 7 other names. Lineage: Bacteria; Pseudomonadati; Acidobacteriota.
GCCGAAGUGGCGGAAUUGGUAGACGCGCACGUUUGAGGGGCGUGUGGGGCAACCCGUGCCGGUUCGAGUCCGGCCUUCGGCACCA